Molecule: unclassified non-coding RNA, 335 nt
Filed under: soil metagenome
Description: partial contains 5.8S ribosomal RNA, internal transcribed spacer 2, and large subunit ribosomal RNA
Rfam family: 5.8S ribosomal RNA (bases 1-120)
Source: RNAcentral
GAUGAAGAACGCAGCGAAAUGCGAUAAGUAAUGUGAAUUGCAGAAUUCAGUGAAUCAUCGAAUCUUUGAACGCACAUUGCGCCCGCCAGUAUUCUGGCGGGCAUGCCUGUUCGAGCGUCAUUUCAACCAUCAAGCCCCGGGCUUGUGUUGGGGACCUGCGGCUGCCGCAGGCCCUGAAAAGCAGUGGCGGGCUCGCUGUCACACCGAGCGUAGUAGCAUACAUCUCGCUCUGGGCGUGCUGCGGGUUCCGGCCGUUAAACCACCUUUUAACCCAAGGUUGACCUCGGAUCAGGUAGGAAUACCCGCUGAACUUAAGCAUAUCAAUAAGCGGAGGA